RNAcentral lists this ribosomal RNA (497 nucleotides) under uncultured bacterium. RNAcentral describes it as "partial 16S ribosomal RNA". It matches the Rfam family "Bacterial small subunit ribosomal RNA", at positions 28 to 507 of the family's 1533-position model. The record is from RNAcentral.
GAUGAACGCUGGCGGCGUGCCUAAUACAUGCAAGUCGAGCGAACAGACGAGGAGCUUGCUCCUCUGACGUUAGCGGCGGACGGGUGAGUAACACGUGGAUAACCUACCUAUAAGACUGGGAUAACUUCGGGAAACCGGAGCUAAUACCGGAUAAUAUAUUGAACCGCAUGGUUCAAUAGUGAAAGACGGUUUUGCUGUCACUUAUAGAUGGAUCCGCGCCGCAUUAGCGAGUUGGUAAGGUAACGGCUUACCAAGGCAACGAUGCGUAGCCGACCGGAGAGGGUGAUCGGCCACACUGGAACUGAGACACGGUCCAGACUCCUACGGGAGGCAGCAGUAGGGAAUCUUCCGCAAUGGGCGAAAGCCUGACGGAGCAACGCCGCGUGAGUGAUGAAGGUCUUCGGAUCGUAAAACUCUGUUAUUAGGGAAGAACAAAUGUGUAAGUAACUAUGCACGUCUUGACGGUACCUAAUCAGAAAGCCACGGCUAACUACGUG